AGGGUGCCAUAGGGCUCAGGUCAGAAGUAAUGAACCAUACAGGGAACAGGGUGCCAUAGGGCUCAGGUCAGAAGUAGUGAACCAUACAGGGAACAGGGUGCCAUAGGGCUCAGGUCAGAAGUAGUGAACCAUACAGGGAACAGGGAGCCAUAGGGCUCAGGUCAGAAGUAGUGAACCAUACAGGGAACAGGGAGCCACAGGGCUCAGGUCAGAAGUAGUGAACCAUACAGGGAACAGGGUGCCAUAGGGCUCAGGUCAGAAGUAAUGAACCAUACAGGGAACAGGGAGCCAUAGGGCUCAGGUCAGAAGUAAUGAACCAUACAGGGAACAGGGUGCCAUAGGGCUCAGGUCAGAAGUAGUGAACCAUACAGGGAACAGGGUGCCAUAGGGCUCAGGUCAGAAGUAAUGAACCAUACAGGGAACAGGGAGCCAUAGGGCUCAGGUCAGAA
This is a non-coding RNA of Oncorhynchus mykiss (rainbow trout), 449 nucleotides long. Lineage: Eukaryota; Metazoa; Chordata; Actinopteri; Salmoniformes; Salmonidae. The record is from RefSeq and is a predicted model, not a curated record.